RNAcentral lists this ribosomal RNA (378 nucleotides) under uncultured bacterium. RNAcentral describes it as "bacterial SSU rRNA". It matches the Rfam family "Bacterial small subunit ribosomal RNA", at positions 28 to 370 of the family's 1533-position model. The record is from RNAcentral.
GACGAACGCUGGCGGCGUGCCUAAUACAUGCAAGUCGAACGCACUCUCGUUUAGAUUGAAGGAGCUUGCUCCUGAUUGAUAAACAUUUGAGUGAGUGGCGGACGGGUGAGUAACACGUGGGUAACCUGCCCUAAAGUGGGGGAUAACAUUUGGAAACAGAUGCUAAUACCGCAUAAAACCUAACACCGCAUGGUGUAGGGUUGAAAGAUGGUUUCGGCUAUCACUUUAGGAUGGACCCGCGGUGCAUUAGUUAGUUGGUGAGGUAAAGGCUCACCAAGACCGUGAUGCAUAGCCGACCUGAGAGGGUAAUCGGCCACACUGGGACCUGAGGACACGGGCCCAGACUCCUACGGGAGCAGCAGUAGGGAAUCUUUCCAC